Molecule: long non-coding RNA, 5087 nt
Filed under: Sus scrofa (pig)
Lineage: Eukaryota; Metazoa; Chordata; Mammalia; Artiodactyla; Suidae
Description: lncRNA (ENSSSCG00050070427.1)
Source: RNAcentral
UGGAAGCUCCCAGGCUAGAGGUCAAACUGGAGCUGUAACCACCAGCCUACGCCACAGCCACGUCAGAUCCAAGCUACCUCUGCAACCUACACCACAGCUCAUGGCAACGCCGGAUCCUUAACCCACUGAGCGAGGCCAGGGAUUGACUGCAUCCUCAUGGAUGCUAGUGAGAUUUGUUUCCACUGAGCCACAGCAGGAACUCCUCAAGUUUUUUACAAAUAGUAAUAUUCAAAGGAGAAAGUAUAUAAUAGAAUAAUAAUAACUUAAUAAAAAGCCCACUCCUUUUUGCCACACGUUAAAAGAAGUUCUAGAAGGAGGAAAAGUUUAAAUAUUUGAAAAUGAAAGAUGUCCACUUAUUUCAGGGUACUAAAAAUAGCAAUAAAUUAUCAAUAAAUUUAUCAACUCAAAAGCAGAACUGAUAAUGAAAAGUAGAUAUGUGAUACGAAUACAGAAAGAUUGAAAACAUCUACAGAUUAAAUAACCCACAGACAUAAUUAAAUGUUAACUGAAUUAGAAAGUCAAUUUAAAUUCCUGGUAAUUACAAAUUCAAUACUUUUGAUGUUUAUAAAUGUCUUGUAAAUCAACAAGAAACUGGAGUAUCUUGACAGAAAAACAGAGGACAAUAUGAAAAGCCAACUUAAAAAAGAAAAAGAUGUCAAUGGUCAACAAAUGCAUUAAAAAUUAAGACAAAUAAAUACAUUUUAACAUACCACCUCUUGAGUAUGUUAUUAGAAAAAAAAAUGAAAAUAAACUCUAGUGCACAGAACUGGCAAGAAUUUGACACAAUGAUAACUCUCAUAUACUGCUUACAGGAGAAUAAAUUGGAACAACUAUUGGACAAGUAAUAGUAACAUUUUAAAUUUUUCACAUAUUCCUGGAUCAAUGUCCUCCACUUCUAGGAAUUUAUCUGAAUAAUCAAGAAUGUGUUAAGGCUAUAACGUUAUUCAUGUUAGAGUACACAUCAAAAUUAAAAAUAAUAGGAGUUCCUGUGGUGGCUCAGUGGUUAACGAAUCCGACUAGGAUCCCUGGCCUUGCUCAUAGGUUAGGGAUCCAGCGUUGCCGUGAGCUCUGGUGUAGGUUGCACACACCUCGGAUCCCGCGUUGCUAUGGCUGUGUCAUAGGCCAGUGGCUACAACUCCAAUUCGACCCCUAGCCUGGGAACUUCCAUAUGCCACGGGAUUGGCCCUAGAAAAGGCAAAAAGACAAAAAUAAAAAUAAAAAAUAAUAAACAACUGAAGUGCAGAGAAGGGAAGAAUAAAUCAAUUAUAGUAUAUGCAUACAUUCGAACACCAUGCUCUAAAAAUUGCGUUACAGGAGAAUACCAAGGACAUGAAGAAAAGUUCAGAUGUUAAGUUAAAGUUACUACCCCAUACCAAAAUAUCCAUAGCAAAAUUUCUAGAUAAGUGCAUAAAAAAGUUAUUAAAAAUAUGAUUACUAGCAUCUUUUAGGCAUUGAAAUGACAGGCGGUUUUCCUUUUUUGUGCAUUCACCUAAAAACAUACAAUAAUAAAAUAAAAUAUUAAAAUGUACAAUAAAAUCUCUGCAGUAAUGCUCCCUACAAUAAUUAGUUGAGAUAAGACACGACUGACUUUUCAUGUCUGUCCUCUAUGGAACCCCAGUUCUCAAACAGGGACAAGUCAAGUUCUACUUCAGGGAGAAAGGGUCACAGGACAUGGAAAGAAAGGUCAUUAAUGGAAAUAACAGGCAACCCCUCUGGGAAGGCAGGGAAGUGGAAGUCAGGUCCCCAUACCUCGUGGACUCAUGGUCCAAUCCUCCCAGAGGGGCCAAUGAAAGAGCCACCAACUCGACAGGACAUUCAAAGAACGGUGAAUGUCCUAUCUAGAAAGUCUCAGCCAGCCACAGGAUCCUGAAUCAUCACCUUGGAUAUUAAAGGCAGAACAGACAAUGCCACUAAAAGAUGCCAAACCACAACCAGGACCUAGAUAGCUCCCAUAGAGGGACCCUGGAAUCUCAAGCCAGACAGUAACACAGCCUUGCUCUGUCCAUGUUGUUAACGUCUCAAUAAUCCAAUCUCUCAUUUCUAAUGACAAUAUUUGGGAGCCCACUUAUAACAUUAUGGCAGGAUUUUAUUUGGUUUCAUUUAUAAUCCAAAAAUAGAAUUUAUACAUUUAAAUUAAUAUUAAGUAAUAUUUAUGUUAAUAUUUAAAUUAAUAUUUAAGAAAAAUUCCAACCACUUGGAAAUUUAAACAUACUGUCCUAAAUAACUAUGGAGAUAAAAUUUUUUGAAAAAGAAUUUUUUGGCCAUGCCUACAGCAUGUGGAAGUUUCCAGGUCAAGGACUGGACCUGCGCCACUGUUGUGCUCCAAGCCACUGCAAUAACAAUGCUGGAUCCUUAACUGCUAGGCCUCCCUGAAAACUCCAAGAAUAAAAAAUAUUUUAUUGUAAUUACAAACUAUAAACAAUUUAGAAUAUAUUUUUAAAAAUCAAUUUAGAAUAUAUUUUUUGAAUCACCAUUCAAACUUAAAGAACAGGUGCAAAGGCACAUUCAAAAGGAAAUUCAUAGCAGUAAAUAUUUUUGUUCCAAGAAAAAGGGAAAAUCAAUAACUGAAGCAUUCACUUCAAGACAUUAAGUUAGAAAAAAAGGAAUGAUAUUUUAAAAAACAAAAAUAACACAAAGGAAAUAGAACGUGAAAAUAUACCAGAACUGAGAAGCAUACCCAAGAGCUGGUUAUUUGAAAAACAAACAAAUGACAGACAGUGACAGAGUUUAUUAGAAAGAGAAAGAAUCUACUGUGAUAGGAUCAUAGUUCGAAAAUUAUUAGUGCACUUUUCUCUUUUAUCUGACUUUGACAUGAAUUUUCCCUAGUUAUUUUAAAGCAUUCUUUGAGGAGCAUAAAGAGAUGAAGACUUUAUCUUGAAAGAGUAAAGUGAGAUUCAGCCUCAGACAAGCAAAACAGAAUGUGCUAUAGUCCCAAGAAAAGAUUUUCCAUAUUCCUCCCAUUUUCCCUCUUUAGCACAUUAACCACCUUGCCUCGAAGACUCAGCUCCUAAAGCUUUCUGAACCUUUUUUUUUUUGUCUUUUAGGGCCAUACCCACAGCAUAUGGAAGUUCCCAGGCUAGGGGUCAAAUUGGAGCAGCAGUCACCAGCCUACACCAUAGCCACAGAAACUUGGGAUCUGAGCUGCAUCUGCGACCUACAUCACAUCUCCUGGCAAUGCCAGGUCCUUAACCCACUGAUCAAGGCCAGGGAUCGAACCCAAGUCCUCAUGGAUACUAGCCGAGUUCAUUAACCACUGAGCCACAACGGGAACUCUCUUUUAAAAACAACAAAAACAAAAAACUCCUGGUCCCCAAUUUACCCUUAAGCCUUAGGUUUGAGUCAGGCCUGUAGGUUUGAGGCAGGAAUAAAAGAAAACAUGAGGCAGGAGAAAGAGGCAUAUUUCCAGCCUAAAACAAAGAUGGAAAGAAGAGAAAGAAAGGAAAAAGAGAGCUUUGCCUUGAAAAGAGAAAGGUAACAACAGGAUAGAUGGGGCUUUGCCACCUCCCCCAAUUAAGACUCUGAAUAAACAGAUCAUUUCUUGGGUAGUCUUCAAUCCUGAAAUAACUUAGAGUAGGGUCACAUCUACUUCGUCGGGCAAGCAGAGGGAGGCCCUGAUACUUUGUUUUCUGAACCAGUCUUGGUCCUUGUAUGUUUAGAUGGGGCACUAAAAUAGGAGGCUGGCUGUAGAGCUAGCUAGCCAGAGCUGCAUAAGACAGCACUGUAGCAAAGGCUGCAGAGAACAACCCAGGACUGGACUAAAUGAGAAUCGACACCCAUUCCCUGAAAAGGAGCAUUGGUGGGAGCGCAGGUGAGACCCAGAGAGUGGGGAGUACCAGCAGGUAGAAACUAAGGAACCACAAAGUGCAGCUUUCCUAAUUGGCUGUCCUCAGGGUACCCAGCCAGCAAAUGGGAAAUGGAUGCUAUCAUCGCCUGGGAGAGUAGAGGAGUCAAAGGGUACCAUGACCAUGAACCCCACCUCUUAACUCUACCAUCACAACCCCUAAGCUCCUCUCCCCCUUACAUCUGGGUAUCAUCUUAGAGUAAGAGAAAAUGGUUGAAACAAUCUGAAAAAGUGAGUAUUUGCUUUCUUUAAAUAUGUCAGAAAGAGUUAAGUUGGCACAAGCACACACACCCAUGCAUACACACACACACACACACCCACCCAUCUUCCCCAGCAUCUAUGAAAGGCAUGGCAGGUAGAUUAAGAGUGUGGGAUUCUGGGAGUUCCUGUCAUGGCUCAGAGGUAACAAACCUGAUUAGUAUCCAUGAGGUUACAGGUUCGUUCCCUGGCCUGCUCAGAGAGUUGAGGAUCCUCCAAUUCAACCCCUAGGCUGGGAACUUCUAUAUGCCAUGGGUGCAGCCCUAAAAAGACAAAAAACAAAACAAAACAAAAGAGCAUGAGAUUCUGCCACUCUUGAACAUAUAUCCAGACAAAACCUGCAUUCAAAAAGAUACAUGCACCCACUGCAGCAUUAUUUACAAUAAUACAUUAUUUACAAGACACAGAAACAAUCUCAACAUCCAGUGACAAAGGAAUGGAUUACACGUACACAAUGGAAUACUACUCAGCCAUAAAAAAGAGCAAACUAAUGCCAUUUGCAGUGACAUGGAUGCAACCAGAUUCUCAUACUAAGUGAAGUAAGUCAGAAAGAGAAAGACAAAUACCAUAUGAUGUCACUUAUAUGUGGAAUCUAAAAUAUGGCACAAAUGAACAUAUCUACAAAACAGAAACAACUCACAGACAUGGAGAAUAGACUUGUAGCUGCCAAGGGACUUGUAGUUGGGGAGGGAGGUGGAUGGACUGGGAGUUUGGGGUUAGUAGAUGCUAACUACUACAUUUAGAAUAGAUAAGCAAUGAGGUCCUACUGUAUAGCACAGGGAACUAUGUCCAACCACUUGUGAUAGAGCAUGAUAGAAAAUAAUAUGAGAAAAAGAAUGUAUAUAUAUGUGUGUGUGUGACUGGGUCACUUUGCUAUACAGCAUAAAUUGACAGAACCUUAUAAAUCAACUAUACUAUAAGAAAAAUUUUUAGGAGUUCCCGUUGUGGCUCAGCAGAAAUGAACCCAACUAGUAUCCAUGAGGAUGUG